UACGUAGGGGGCAAGCGUUGUCCGGAAUCAUUGGGCGUAAAGCGCGCGUAGGCGGCUCGGAAAGUCGGGCGUGAAAUGCCGGGGCUCAACCCCGGGACUGCGUCCGAUACUUCCGAGCUGGAGGUAGGUAGGGGAGAUCGGAAUUCCUGGUGUAGCGGUGAAAUGCGCAGAUAUCAGGAGGAACACCGGUGGCGAAGGCGGAUCUCUGGGCCUUACCUGACGCUGAGGCGCGAAAGCUAGGGGAGCGAACAGG
Molecule: ribosomal RNA, 253 nt
Filed under: uncultured bacterium
Lineage: Bacteria
Description: partial 16S ribosomal RNA
Rfam family: Bacterial small subunit ribosomal RNA
Source: RNAcentral